CGGAGGAGCUAGCGUUGUUCGGAAUUACUGGGCGUAAAGCGCACGUAGGCGGCUUUGUAAGUUAGAGGUGAAAGCCCGGGCUCAACCCCGGAAUUGCCUUUAAGACUGCAUCGCUCGAAUCCAGGAGAGGUGAGUGGAAUUCCGAGUGUAGAGGUGAAAUUCGUAGAUAUUCGGAAGAACACCAGUGGCGAAGGCGGCUCACUGGACUGGUAUUGACGCUGAGGUGCGAAAGCGUGGGGAGCAAACAGGAUU
Molecule: ribosomal RNA, 252 nt
Filed under: uncultured bacterium
Lineage: Bacteria
Description: partial 16S ribosomal RNA
Rfam family: Bacterial small subunit ribosomal RNA
Source: RNAcentral